Molecule: small nuclear RNA, 120 nt
Organism: Achroia grisella
Lineage: Eukaryota; Metazoa; Arthropoda; Insecta; Lepidoptera; Pyralidae
Product: U5 spliceosomal RNA
Exons: 1
Source: RefSeq, a predicted model, not a curated record
UAACUCUGGUUUUCCUUCAAAACGUAUAAUUCUUUCGCCUUUUACUAAAGAUUUCCGUGGAGGGGAACACUUAAAGGAGUAUUAUUCAAUUUUUGACAGUCUUGUUUACUUAUAGCAAGG